RNAcentral lists this ribosomal RNA (1360 nucleotides) under uncultured bacterium. Its description in RNAcentral is "bacterial SSU rRNA". It matches the Rfam family "Bacterial small subunit ribosomal RNA", at positions 18 to 1394 of the family's 1533-position model. The record is from RNAcentral.
CCUGGCUCACGACGAACGCUGGCGGCGCGCCUAACACAUGCAAGUCGAACGGAGUUGUGUUGAAAGCUUGCUGGAUAUACAACUUAGUGGCGGACGGGUGAGUAACACGUGAGUAACCUGCCUCUCAGAGUGGAAUAACGUUUGGAAACGAACGCUAAUACCGCAUAACGUGAGAAGAGGGCAUCCUACUUUUUACCAAAGAUUUAUCGCUGAGAGAUGGGCUCGCGGCCGAUUAGGUAGUUGGUGAGAUAACAGCCCACCAAGCCGACGAUCGGUAGCCGGACUGAGAGGUUGAUCGGCCACAUUGGGACUGAGACACGGCCCAGACUCCUACGGGAGGCAGCAGUGGGGGAUAUUGCUCAAUGGGGGAAACCCUGAUGCAGCGACGCCGCGUGAUGUAAUACGGUUUUCGGAUUGUAAACCUCUGUCUUUAGGGACGAAAAAAUGACGGUACCUAAGGAGGAAGCCACGGCUAACUACGUGCCAGCAGCCGCGGUAAUACGUAGGUGGCAAGCGUUGUCCGGAAUUACUGGGUGUAAAGGGAGCGUAGGCGGGGAGACAAGUUGAAUGUCUAAACUAUCGGCUUAACUGAUAGUCGCGUUCAAAACUAUCACUCCUGAGUGCAGUAGAGGUAGGCGGAAUUCCUAGUGUAGCGGUGAAAUGCGUAGAUAUUAGGAGGAACACCAGUGGCGAAGGCGGCCUACUGGGCUGUAACUGACGCUGAGGCUCGAAAGCGUGGGUAGCAAACAGGAUUAGAUACCCUGGUAGUCCACGCCGUAAACGAUGAUUACUAGGUGUGGGGGGACUGAACCCUUCCGUGCCGGAGUUAACACAAUAAGUAAUCCACCUGGGGAGUACGACCGCAAGGUUGAAACUCAAAGGAAUUGACGGGGGCCCGCACAAGCAGUGGAGUAUGUGGUUUAAUUCGAAGCAACGCGAAGAACCUUACCAGGUCUUGACAUCGAGCGACGAACCAAGAGAUUGGUUCUUCCUUCGGGACGCGAAGACAGGUGGUGCAUGGUUGUCGUCAGCUCGUGUCGUGAGAUGUUGGGUUAAGUCCCGCAACGAGCGCAACCCUUAUCAUUAGUUGCUACGCAAGAGCACUCUAAUGAGACUGCCGUUGAUAAAACGGAGGAAGGUGGGGAUGACGUCAAAUCAUCAUGCCCCUUAUGACCUGGGCUACACACGUACUACAAUGGUGAUAAACAGAGGGAAGCAACACAGCGAUGUGAAGCAAAUCCCGAAAAAUCAUCUCAGUUCAGAUUGCAGGCUGCAACUCGCCUGCAUGAAGUCGGAAUUGCUAGUAAUCGCGGAUCAGCAUGCCGCGGUGAAUACGUUCCCGGGCCUUGUACACACCGCC